RNAcentral lists this ribosomal RNA (447 nucleotides) under uncultured bacterium. RNAcentral's name for it is "bacterial SSU rRNA". It matches the Rfam family "Bacterial small subunit ribosomal RNA", at positions 355 to 825 of the family's 1533-position model. The record is from RNAcentral.
UCGGGAAUUUUGGGCAAUGGGCGAAAGCCUGACCCAGCAACGCCGCGUGAAGGAUGAAGUAUUUCGGUAUGUAAACUUCGAAAGAAUAGGAAGAAUAAAUGACGGUACUAUUUAUAAGGUCCGGCUAACUACGUGCCAGCAGCCGCGGUAAUACGUAGGGACCAAGCGUUGUUUGGAUUUACUGGGCGUAAAGGGCGCGUAGGCGGCAAUUCAAGUCAUCUGUGAAAUCUCCGGGCUUAACUCGGAACGGUCAGAUGAUACUGCUUUGCUAGAGUGCAGAAGGGGCAAUCGGAAUUCUUGGUGUAGCGGUGAAAUGCGUAGAUAUCAAGAGGAACACCUGAGGUGAAGACGGGUUGCUGGGCUGACACUGACGCUGAGGCGCGAAAGCCAGGGGAGCAAACGGGAUUAGAUACCCCAGUAGUCCCUGAGCGGGCUGGCAAGGCGCAU